Molecule: ribosomal RNA, 326 nt
Filed under: uncultured eukaryote
Lineage: Eukaryota
Description: partial 18S ribosomal RNA
Rfam family: Eukaryotic small subunit ribosomal RNA
Source: RNAcentral
CCCUUAGAUGUUCUGGGCUGCACGCGCGCUACACUGAUGCACUCAACGAGUUUACGACCUUGCCCGAUAGGGUUGGGUAAUCUUUUUAAAAUGCAUCGUGAUGGGGAUAGAUUAUUGCAAUUAUUAAUCUUCAACGAGGAAUUCCUAGUAAGCGCGAGUCAUUAGCUCGUGCUGAUUACGUCCCUGCCCUUUGUACACACCGCCCGUCGCUCCUACCGAUUGAGUGCUCAGGUGAAUAAUUCGGACUGCAGCAAUGUUUGGAUCCCGAACGUUGCAGCGGAAAGUUUAGUGAACCUUAUCACUUAGAGGAAGGAGAAGUCGUAACA